GAUGAACGCUGGCGGCGUGCCUAAUACAUGCAAGUCGAACGCUUCACUUCGGUGAAGAGUGGCGAACGGGUGAGUAAUACAUAAGUAACCUGGCAUCUACAGGGGGAUAACUGAUGGAAACGUCAGCUAAGACCGCAUAGGUGUAGAGAUCGCAUGAACUCUAUAUGAAAAGUGCUCCGGGACUGGUAGAUGACGGACUUAUGGCGCAUUAGCUGGUUGGUAGGGUAAGGGCCUACCAAGGCGACGAGGCGUAGCCGACGUGAGAGGGUGACCGGCCACACGGGGACUGAGACGCGGCACAGACUCCUACGGGAGGCAGCAGUAGGGAAUUUUCGGCAAUGGGGGAAACUCUGACCGAGCAACGCCGCGUGAAGGAAGAAGUAAUUCGUUAUGUAAACUUCUGUCAUAGAGGAAGAACGGUGGAUAUAGGGAAUGAUAUCCAAGUGACGGUACUCUAUAAGAAAGCCACGGCUAACUACGUGCCAUCCGCCGCGGUAA
Molecule: ribosomal RNA, 498 nt
Filed under: uncultured bacterium
Lineage: Bacteria
Description: partial 16S ribosomal RNA
Rfam family: Bacterial small subunit ribosomal RNA
Source: RNAcentral